This 408-nucleotide ribosomal RNA is filed under the name uncultured bacterium. Its description in RNAcentral is "partial 16S ribosomal RNA". It matches the Rfam family "Bacterial small subunit ribosomal RNA", at positions 28 to 526 of the family's 1533-position model. The record is from RNAcentral.
GACGAACGCUGGCGGCGUGCUUAACACAUGCAAGUCGAACGAAGUGGCGAACGGGUGAGUAACGCGUAAUCAACCUGCCCUUCAGAGGGGGACAACAGUUGGAAACGACUGCUAAUACCGCAUACUGAAGGAGGGGAUUGCGUCUGAUUAGCUAGUUGGAGGGGUAACGGCCCACCAAGGCGAUGAUCAGUAGGCGGUUUGAGAGGAUGAACGGCCAAAUUGGGACUGAGACACGGCCCAGACCCCUACGGGAGGCAGCAGUGGGGAAACAUCGGCAAUGGAGGAAAGUCUGAAGGAGGAAAGCCGGGGGAGUGAUGACGGCCUUCGGGGUGUAAAGCUAUGUUAAUCGGGACGCGGUACCGGAAGAGAAAGCAACGGCUAACUACGUGCCAGCAGCCGCGGUAAUUC